GAUGAAGAACGCAGCGAAAUGCGAUACGUAAUGUGAAUUGCAGAAUUCAGUGAAUCAUCGAGUCUUUGAACGCACCUUGCGCCCUUUGGCUAUUCCGAAGGGCAUGCCUGUUUGAGUAUCAUGAACACCUCAACUCUCAUGGUUUUUCCAUGAUGGGCUUGGACUUUGGGGGUCUUGCCGGCCUAUGGUCAGCUCCUCUUAAAUGAAUCAGCUUGCCAGUGUUUGGUGUGGCAUCACAGGUGUGAUAACUAUCUACGCUUGUGGUUUUCCAUCAAGUAACCUUCAGUGAUGGAGGUUCGCUGGGGCUCAUAAAGGCCUCUCCUCGGUGAGGAUGGCUCCUUUGAACGUUUGAUCUCAAAUCAGGUAGGACUACCCGCUGAACUUAAGCAUAUCAAUAAGCGGAGGA
Molecule: unclassified non-coding RNA, 406 nt
Filed under: soil metagenome
Description: partial contains 5.8S ribosomal RNA, internal transcribed spacer 2, and large subunit ribosomal RNA
Rfam family: 5.8S ribosomal RNA (bases 1-121)
Source: RNAcentral